RNAcentral lists this ribosomal RNA (327 nucleotides) under uncultured eukaryote. Its description in RNAcentral is "partial 18S ribosomal RNA". It matches the Rfam family "Eukaryotic small subunit ribosomal RNA", at positions 1470 to 1796 of the family's 1831-position model. The record is from RNAcentral.
CCCUUAGAUGUUCUGGGCCGCACGCGCGCUACACUGACGAAUGCAACGAGCUUAUAACCUUGGCCGAAAGGUCUGGGUAAUCUCCAAAUUUCGUCGUGAUGGGGAUAGAUUAUUGCAAUUAUUAAUCUUCAACGAGGAAUGCCUAGUGAGCGCAAGUCAUCAGCUUGCGUUGAUUACGUCCCUGCCCUUUGUACACACCGCCCGUCGCUCCUACCGAUUGAAUGGUCCGGUGAAGCGUUCGGACCGUGGCCUUUGGACGGUUCGCCGUCUGUUGGCUGCGGGAAGUUCGUUAAACCUUAUCAUUUAGAGGAAGGAGAAGUCGUAACA